This 1350-nucleotide ribosomal RNA is filed under the name Leuconostoc citreum. RNAcentral describes it as "bacterial SSU rRNA". It matches the Rfam family "Bacterial small subunit ribosomal RNA", at positions 113 to 1452 of the family's 1533-position model. The record is from RNAcentral. Lineage: Bacteria; Bacillati; Bacillota; Bacilli; Lactobacillales; Lactobacillaceae.
ACACGUGGAUAACCUGCCUCAAGGCUGGGGAUAACAUUUGGAAACAGAUGCUAAUACCGAAUAAAACUUAGUAUCGCAUGAUAUCAAGUUAAAAGGCGCUACGGCGUCACCUAGAGAUGGAUCCGCGGUGCAUUAGUUAGUUGGUGGGGUAAAGGCUUACCAAGACGAUGAUGCAUAGCCGAGUUGAGAGACUGAUCGGCCACAUUGGGACUGAGACACGGCCCAAACUCCUACGGGAGGCUGCAGUAGGGAAUCUUCCACAAUGGGCGCAAGCCUGAUGGAGCAACGCCGCGUGUGUGAUGAAGGCUUUCGGGUCGUAAAGCACUGUUGUAUGGGAAGAAAUGCUAAAAUAGGGAAUGAUUUUAGUUUGACGGUACCAUACCAGAAAGGGACGGCUAAAUACGUGCCAGCAGCCGCGGUAAUACGUAUGUCCCGAGCGUUAUCCGGAUUUAUUGGGCGUAAAGCGAGCGCAGACGGUUGAUUAAGUCUGAUGUGAAAGCCCGGAGCUCAACUCCGGAAUGGCAUUGGAAACUGGUUAACUUGAGUGUUGUAGAGGUAAGUGGAACUCCAUGUGUAGCGGUGGAAUGCGUAGAUAUAUGGAAGAACACCAGUGGCGAAGGCGGCUUACUGGACAACAACUGACGUUGAGGCUCGAAAGUGUGGGUAGCAAACAGGAUUAGAUACCCUGGUAGUCCACACCGUAAACGAUGAAUACUAGGUGUUAGGAGGUUUCCGCCUCUUAGUGCCGAAGCUAACGCAUUAAGUAUUCCGCCUGGGGAGUACGACCGCAAGGUUGAAACUCAAAGGAAUUGACGGGGACCCGCACAAGCGGUGGAGCAUGUGGUUUAAUUCGAAGCAACGCGAAGAACCUUACCAGGUCUUGACAUCCUUUGAAGCUUUUAGAGAUAGAAGUGUUCUCUUCGGAGACAAAGUGACAGGUGGUGCAUGGUCGUCGUCAGCUCGUGUCGUGAGAUGUUGGGUUAAGUCCCGCAACGAGCGCAACCCUUAUUGUUAGUUGCCAGCAUUCAGUUGGGCACUCUAGCGAGACUGCCGGUGACAAACCGGAGGAAGGCGGGGACGACGUCAGAUCAUCAUGCCCCUUAUGACCUGGGCUACACACGUGCUACAAUGGCGUAUACAACGAGUUGCCAACCUGCGAAGGUGAGCUAAUCUCUUAAAGUACGUCUCAGUUCGGACUGCAGUCUGCAACUCGACUGCACGAAGUCGGAAUCGCUAGUAAUCGCGGAUCAGCACGCCGCGGUGAAUACGUUCCCGGGUCUUGUACACACCGCCCGUCACACCAUGGGAGUUUGUAAUGCCCAAAGCCGGUGGCCUAACCUCGGGAGGGAG